UACGUAGGGUGCAAGCGUUGUCCGGAAUCAUUGGGCGUAAAGCGCGCGUAGGCGGCCCGAUAAGUCCGCUGUAAAAGUCAACGGCUCAACUGUUGAAAGCCGGUGGAUACUGUCGGGCUAGAGUACGGAAGAGGCAAGUGGAAUUCCUGGUGUAGCGGUGGAAUGCGCAGAUAUUAGGAGGAACACCUAUAGCGAAGGCAGCUUGCUGGGACGUUACUGACGCUAAGGCGCGAAAGCGUGGGGAGCGAACAGG
RNAcentral lists this ribosomal RNA (253 nucleotides) under uncultured bacterium. RNAcentral describes it as "partial 16S ribosomal RNA". It matches the Rfam family "Bacterial small subunit ribosomal RNA", at positions 524 to 776 of the family's 1533-position model. The record is from RNAcentral.